GAUGAACGCUGGCGGCGUGCUUAACACAUGCAAGUCGAACGGAAAGGCUCCUGCUUGCAGGGGUACUCGAGUGGCGAACGGGUGAGUAACACGUGGGUGAUCUGCCCUGCACUUCGGGAUAAGCCUGGGAAACUGGGUCUAAUACCGGAUAGGACCACAUUUUGGAUGGUGUGGUGGAAAGUUUUUCGGUGUGGGAUGAGCUCGCGGCCUAUCAGCUUGUUGGUGGGGUAAUGGCCUACCAAGGCGUCGACGGGUAGCCGGCCUGAGAGGGUGUACGGCCACAUUGGGACUGAGAUACGGCCCAGACUCCUACGGGAGGCAGCAGUGGGGAAUAUUGCACAAUGGGCGCAAGCCUGAUGCAGCGACACCGCGUGGGGGAUGACGGCCUUCGGGUUGUAAACUCCUUUCGCUAGGGACGAAGCGCAAGUGACGGUACCUGGAGAAGAAGCACCGGCUAACUACGUG
RNAcentral lists this ribosomal RNA (465 nucleotides) under uncultured bacterium. RNAcentral's name for it is "partial 16S ribosomal RNA". It matches the Rfam family "Bacterial small subunit ribosomal RNA", at positions 28 to 507 of the family's 1533-position model. The record is from RNAcentral.